This 207-nucleotide ribosomal RNA is filed under the name uncultured bacterium. RNAcentral's name for it is "partial 16S ribosomal RNA". It matches the Rfam family "Bacterial small subunit ribosomal RNA", at positions 568 to 774 of the family's 1533-position model. The record is from RNAcentral.
UCCGUAGGCGGUUUUGUAAGUCAGUGGUGAAGGCCCAUCGCUCAACGGUGGAACGGCCAUUGAUACUGCAAGACUUGAAUUAUUAGGAAGUAACUAGAAUAUGUAGUGUAGCGGUGAAAUGCUUAGAUAUUACAUGGAAUACCAAUUGCGAAGGCAGGUUACUACUAAUAUAUUGACGCUGAUGGACGAAAGCGUGGGGAGCGAACA